Small nucleolar RNA from Lampris incognitus (smalleye Pacific opah), 80 nucleotides. RefSeq annotates it as small nucleolar RNA SNORD72. The transcript has a single exon. The record is from RefSeq and is a predicted model, not a curated record. Lineage: Eukaryota; Metazoa; Chordata; Actinopteri; Lampriformes; Lampridae.
GUCUUGUCGGUGAUGCUUUAAAAAACAAAUGUCUGAACAAAUGAGAUCCUGUGAUUCUUACUUUAUUACUGAGACAAGAC